AAUAACGACGACGCUCAGUCAAACUGAGUUCGUCACUGUCACAGCUGGUCACAGGUCAUCUGUAAGAGGCUGAGAAAACGGCAAUUAGAAUAAAGCAGAAGAUUCGUUCGCAAUAGAGCGUCGCUCGAAACGGUUUAAUCAUUCGUGACAUUGCCUCUGUCAUUCAUUAUAGGUUCUAUGACGUUUUACGUGGAGUGAAAGACAUUCACACACUGUACUGGGAAAAUUUUGAGUGUCAUUUUACGUUAAUAAUAUUGUAUGAAGGAGAGUUUACCGUGAGUCUAUUAAUCUACUUGCACAAGUCGAUCGAGUUCAAAAUGGAUAAAGUGAAGAUCGGUAAUUCGGAAUUGGAGAUACCUCCGCUACGCAGCCUAGAUGAUUUUCUGCUGGAAUCAGCACGUUUUCAAAUACCUAAUGUGAAAGAUCUAGACAAAUGGGGAAACAGAGUGGUCAACAAUUUGCUUUAUUAUCAAACCAAUUAUUUCUUCAUGUCUGCUUGUAUUUUUCUUGUAGUUGGAUUAAUUCAUCCAGGAAAGAUGCUUGUUGGUAUUCUAGCGACAGUUAUCAUUCUGGGAGUGUUUGCUUAUGUGUCUACCGAAGGAAGAACAAUACACAAUUUUAAGAAGCGAUAUCCAGUUGCUGGUGUCAUUUUCAUUCUUAUUGGUGCAUGUUUUGUCACCUAUACAGUAGGUUCUCUUCUAGUUUUUCUGACUGGAAUUUUAUUGCCCUUCUCAGUAACAUUUUUACAUGCAUCGAUGAGGCUGCGCAAUAUCAAAAAUAAACUUGUCAACAAGAUUGAGGGUAUUGGGCUAAAACGUACGCCGAUGGGACUAGUUUUGGAAUAUCUUGGUAUGGACCAAGAACUGUUUGCUUAAACUUCUGUAUACGUAAGAGUGGACGUUUGCUUUUUCCCCCUUGUACUUUAAGUAUAUAUUGAGACGAUGCUCCAUGUUAAAGUUUAAAUUUAUUAAAAAUCGUUACGCUUGUAUCAAUCUUAAUACAGCCAAAGUUAUAAAGUAGUUGGUUUCUUGAGCUAUACAUUUAACAAAUAUAUUCUACUUUCAUUUGCGUUAUUUGAAUUUAAAGGGUUGCUGUUAUCCAUUCACAAAGAUCCUAACGCGAUUAACUUGUUUAAUAAAAUCUUAUAUCGUACAUUAGGCGCGCUUUGUAAAUAAUUAGUGAAAGGUAACAGCAGUGCAUCCAAUAAGUAACAGGAUGAUCGAUAGAAUGAAGGCAAGGCAUUAUAUAUCCGUCAUUAUUGUAUUUAACUUAUCUUAAAUAUCCUAUUACAUAUUAGUUGUGUCUACGCGAAUUUAAAGGUACAUUUUUUAGAUGAAAUAUGUUUGUAAAUUAUUCAUAUAGAGUCAUUACAAAAGCAGAUUUUGUUGCUAUGAAAUAUUGUCUUUUGGAAACAGUAAAACAUCGAAAGAUAAAACUAUUGAGGUGCAGUAUCAAGACGGCUAUUACUUGUUUCUGUUUGGCUAAUACCUAUCCCCAGGUCCUUCGUCGAAAGAUCUUAUGUAAUUAAAGAAUGUGUCAUCUAUCUGUGUGAAUUUGUUAUUUUCGGUGCCAAUUAUAUUAUUGCAUGGAAUCGUCAAUUCACAUAAUCGUUCUCUGGCCGGAAAAUUAAAUAAUCGAACGCCAUUUCUUCGUGUGUUUUUUCACACGCGCACGCGCGCACACAAUUUUUUGAUCAGAUAACAUUACGGUAAAGUGACGAUUUGAUGCAAUGAUCUGGCACCCGUUAUUGUCACUCUGUUCUGGUACUAUGUAGGAGAUAUAGCGGAAGGUAGAAAAGAUCUGCGGCAUUUUAUUGUAAAAUAUGAUGUGACUGGUUUGACUGUACGUGCGCAGAGUUCUAUCAUGGAAAAGUAUAAUACCUACUAAGGAGGAAGGUGCUUCUUUCCUGCAACAUGUGAUCAGUGUGUAAGAAGUAAGAAAUGGAGUUUGAAAAUUUGACUUUAUGUCGAUAAUCGCGACAAGAAUUAAUUGUCUUGAAAAUGGUAGGUGUAAUAUUGUCUGUUAGGCUAUUUUUCUAGCUGAAUGAUGUUACACUUUUUGCAAAUAAUACUUUGUACCACGCGGAAUCGAUACAAGCUCAGCUCGCCAGAUUUUGAAAAGUAAAGACUAUUAUUCUUUUAUGAUUUCUGCGUACGAAUUUUGAGAAGCUAAUUUGUAGUUCAUCUCACAUUUCUUGACGAAUAUAGUCGCAAUAUUUCAAUGAUUGUUUUAUACAUAAUUUAGGGAUUUACUUAUUGUAUCGACUAGUCUGAACUUAUAUCUUCAGCGGCAGGUAUAACAGAAUAAUUUUAUUAUAUUAUCAAUAAACAUGUUUUACCAUAUGCUCA
RNA transcript from Cephus cinctus (wheat stem sawfly), 2348 nucleotides. It is a transcript of the gene named PRA1 family protein 3, with no coding region annotated. The transcript has 4 exons. The record is from RefSeq and is a predicted model, not a curated record. NCBI's taxonomy places the organism in Eukaryota, Metazoa, Arthropoda, Insecta, Hymenoptera, Cephidae.